CACAAUUAUGUCUUUUUAGGUGUUGCAGAAUGAUUUAGACAUCUUGCGGUCGUAGGUUGGUUUGUAGGUUGGCUUAAUUGAUAGUGAUCCUUAAACUUUGCAGUUUCAACCUAACAAUGAAAAGUUUCUCAAAGAUCCUAUAUGUGUUAAUUACCAAGUAUCCUCCAACUGCAUCUA
This is a long non-coding RNA of Papaver somniferum (opium poppy), 177 nucleotides long. RefSeq lists it as uncharacterized. NCBI's taxonomy places the organism in Eukaryota, Viridiplantae, Streptophyta, Magnoliopsida, Ranunculales, Papaveraceae. The record is from RefSeq and is a predicted model, not a curated record. The transcript is spliced from 3 exons.